UACGGAGGAUGCAAGCGUUAUCCGGAAUGAUUGGGCGUAAAGCGUACGCAGGUGGCACUUCAAGUCUGCUGUUAAAUACUAGGGCUUAACCCUGGAGCGGCAGUGGAAACUGAAGAGCUAGAGUUCGGUAGGGGUAGAGGGAAUUCCCAGUGUAGCGGUGAAAUGCGUAGAGAUUGGGAAGAACACCGGUGGCGAAAGCGCGCUGCUAGGCCGAAACUGACACUCAUGGUCGAAAACUAUGGGAGCGAAUGGG
RNAcentral lists this ribosomal RNA (253 nucleotides) under uncultured bacterium. RNAcentral describes it as "partial 16S ribosomal RNA". It matches the Rfam family "Bacterial small subunit ribosomal RNA", at positions 524 to 776 of the family's 1533-position model. The record is from RNAcentral.